Molecule: transfer RNA, 66 nt
Filed under: Tomeurus gracilis
Lineage: Eukaryota; Metazoa; Chordata; Actinopteri; Cyprinodontiformes; Poeciliidae
Description: tRNA-Tyr
Rfam family: tRNA
About the family: Transfer RNA (tRNA) molecules are approximately 80 nucleotides in length. Their secondary structure includes four short double-helical elements and three loops (D, anti-codon, and T loops).
Source: RNAcentral
UAGGAUGGCCGAGUGCUAGGCGGUGGAUUGUAGCCCCACAGACAGAGGCUAAAACCCUCUUCUUAC